GAUGAAGAACGUAGCAAAAUGCGAUAAGUAAUGUGAAUUGCAGAAUUCAGUGAACCAUCGAAUUUUUGAACGCACAUUGCGCCCGGCAGUAAUCUGCCGGGCAUGCCUGUCCGAGCGUCAUUUCUGCCCUCGAGCGAGUCCAGCAUCUAGGUGCUGGGCCCGCCCGGCGUUGGGGCACUACGGGAAGCCCUGUGCUGUCCCCCGUAGGCCCCGAAAUGAAGUGGCGGUCCUGCCGCGGCGCCCCCUGCGUAGUAUAACAGCUCGCUUCGGGACCCGGUGGAGGCCUGCCGUCAAACCUUACUCUCUAAGUUUGACCUCGGAUCAGGUAGGGUUACCCGCUGAACUUAAGCAUAUCAAUAAGCGGAGGA
RNAcentral lists this unclassified non-coding RNA (368 nucleotides) under soil metagenome. Its description in RNAcentral is "partial contains 5.8S ribosomal RNA, internal transcribed spacer 2, and large subunit ribosomal RNA". The stretch from base 1 to 120 matches the Rfam family "5.8S ribosomal RNA", at positions 35 to 154 of the family's 154-position model. The record is from RNAcentral.